UGUGAUCAAAGACAUGACAACUAAACUGAGGCAUAUAAGCACAUCAAAAAUGGAUGAUUUGCUCCAAGUACCAGGUGCUACGUUUCUCUCCACAAGGAAAAAUCAGACUCAAACUCUCACGAGAGGAGCCCCAUAAUCAUCCGCCAUUAACAGACAAUCAAGCUUAGACGGAAGUAUAUAUCCCCACCUCCAACAAACGUCUUCUUGGAUUCUCUAAUAAUCAUUUCUUGGGUGCCUCCUCCCUGUGGUACGGUGAAAGUCAAUUUUGAUGCUUCUUGAAAAAAUGGUGUUGCAGGAGCUGGAUUUAUCAUUAGAGAUCAUAAUAGGCAGGUGCUUCAUUUUGGAGCGCAAUGUGUUAUAGCUAAUUCUAUCACGAAAGCUGAGCUUCAUACAGUAGAGAGGAUACUUUAAUAGCUACCAUACAACUUGGAUUGAAUUUUGGUUUCUAUUUUAGUUUGUUGUUUUGGAGUUAUGUAACCCCAUUGUACCCAAAAGGGGAAAAAAAACAUCUUCUUGGAUUACUAUUGAUGCUAUAAAAUCGGCCAUCCGAUUACCUUCUAUAUAAAA
This is a non-coding RNA of Elaeis guineensis (African oil palm), 567 nucleotides long. Lineage: Eukaryota; Viridiplantae; Streptophyta; Magnoliopsida; Arecales; Arecaceae. The record is from RefSeq and is a predicted model, not a curated record.